RNAcentral lists this ribosomal RNA (438 nucleotides) under uncultured bacterium. RNAcentral describes it as "bacterial SSU rRNA". It matches the Rfam family "Bacterial small subunit ribosomal RNA", at positions 338 to 791 of the family's 1533-position model. The record is from RNAcentral.
CCUACGGGAGGCAGCAGUGGGGAAUAUUGGGCAAUGGGCGCAAGCCUGACCCAGCAAUGCCGCGUGAAGGAAGAAGGCUUUCGGGUUGUAAACUUCUUUGACAGGGGAAGAGCAGAAGACGGUACCCUGAAAACAAGCCACGGCUAACUACGUGCCAGCAGCCGCGGUAAUACGUAGGUGGCAAGCGUUGUCCGGAUUUACUGGGUGUAAAGGGCGUGUAGCCGGGAAGGCAAGUCAGAUGUGAAAUCCGGAGGCUCAACCUCCGAAUUGCAUUUGAAACUGUUUUUCUUGAGUACUGGAGAGGCAGACGGAAUUCCUUGUGUAGCGGUGAAAUGCGUAGAUAUAAGGAGGAACACCAGUGGCGAAGGCGGUCUGCUGGACAGCAACUGACGGUGAGGCGCGAAAGCGUGGGGAGCAAACAGGAUUAGAUACCCGAGU